UACAGAGGUCCCAAGCGUUGUUCGGAUUCAUUGGGCGUAAAGGGUGCGUAGGCGGUCGCGUAAGUCGGAUGUGAAAUCUCAGGGCUCAACCCUGAAACUGCAUUCGAUACUGCGUGGCUAGGGUACUGGAGAGGAGACUGGAAUUUACGGUGUAGCGGUGAAAUGCGUAGAUAUCGUAAGGAAGACCAGUGGCGAAGGCGGGUCUCUGGACAGUUCCUGACGCUGAGGCACGAAGGUCAGGGGAGCAAACGGG
RNAcentral lists this ribosomal RNA (253 nucleotides) under uncultured bacterium. RNAcentral describes it as "partial 16S ribosomal RNA". It matches the Rfam family "Bacterial small subunit ribosomal RNA", at positions 524 to 776 of the family's 1533-position model. The record is from RNAcentral.